GCUGUGGGUCUCUUACAUUAUGUGGAGAGGACAGACAGACGGACGGGCGGACGGGUGCGGAGAGAACAGCGUCUCCCUUUGAGCCCAUUUGUCCCCUGAGAACCACGUGGCCCCCCAGACGCCGUUCUGUUUCUGGGGAGGGAAGGCGAGAGAAAGAUUGAUAGCAGAGAGAGAGGGGAUGACAUGCUGCGAAGGGCCUGGGCCGGAUCCGAACCCAAGCCGCUACGACAAGGACCCAGCCCCAUGGGGUACCAGUGCAUACCUCCACCUCUCCAGUCUCUCCUCAACCUGCACCCUACUCUCACUACAGAUCACAAUGUCAUCCAUGAACAUCAUAAUCCACGGAGACUCCUGCCUGAUCUCGUCCGUCAACCUGUCCAUCACCAGUGCAAACAAGAAAGGGCUCAGAGCCGAUCCUUGAUGUAAUCCCACCUCCACCUUGAACCCAUCUGUCAUUCCAACCGCACACCUCACCAUUGUCUCACUUCCCUCAUACAUAUCCUGCAUCACUCUUACAUACUUUUCUGCCACUCCUGACUUCCUCAUACAAUACCACACCUCCUCUCUUGGCACCCUGUCGUAUGCUUUCUCUAAAUCCACAAAGACACAUUGUAACUCCUUCUGGCCUUCUCUAUACUUCUCAAUCAACAUUCUCAAUCAUGUAUCUAAGUAAUCUGCUAACAUAUUGUAACGUGCAUGGAUAAAAGUUGCGUUGUCCCCCCGAAUUCGCUACAAUAUGUUUAUUCCAGCAUAUUUGCACUCUGCACCAUUGCACUAUUGCCUUCCUGUCUUACCUGCAUAUACUCAUUCCUUGUAUAUAUAUAUCUAUAUCUAUAUAUAUAUCUAUAUAUAUAUACAUAUAUAUAUAUAUAUACAUACAUAUAUAUCUAUAUCUAUAGGUAUAGAUAUAUCCCUGAAGAUUGUUGUUGUUAUUCUGUGUAAGUACAUUG
This is a long non-coding RNA of Lampris incognitus (smalleye Pacific opah), 950 nucleotides long. RefSeq lists it as uncharacterized. The transcript has 3 exons. The record is from RefSeq and is a predicted model, not a curated record. Lineage: Eukaryota; Metazoa; Chordata; Actinopteri; Lampriformes; Lampridae.